This 31-nucleotide non-coding RNA is filed under the name Rattus norvegicus (Norway rat). The record is from RNAcentral. Lineage: Eukaryota; Metazoa; Chordata; Mammalia; Rodentia; Muridae.
UCUGUGGUGAUCUUCCUCUUUGUAGGUUGGU